Molecule: long non-coding RNA, 226 nt
Filed under: Scleropages formosus (Asian bonytongue)
Lineage: Eukaryota; Metazoa; Chordata; Actinopteri; Osteoglossiformes; Osteoglossidae
Description: lncRNA (ENSSFOG00015025097.1)
Source: RNAcentral
GUGCACUGAGAGAGGGUGACGGGUACAGCUGAUCGAGUGCCUGUUCCUCUGCUUGUCAGUGUGCUUCAGAAGGGACCUACGCCGUCAUCAGCAGUUUCUCCUCUACUCCCAAAGCACAGCCUGCUGUCCCAGCGCAGAGCGUAAAGGACAAGUCUGAUGAAAAUCAGACCCAUGUCUAUUCUGCCAUUAUGACCCAGCCGUCAGCCUCAGCUAACAAGGACUUGAU